CCCGUUUCACGAAUGGAAGCUCUUAAAACAGUAAUGGUAUAUAACGAUUUAUGUUGAGUUAUAAGAAAACUAUACCGAAAGUUCUAACCAUGUUAAGAAAAGUGAGGGACGAGAUUGAUGGUAAUGUGAACUUCUACAAGAAACAAGUGAGAAUUAAAUUAUAUUAUAUUAAGUCUUCAUAGAUCUAUAAAAUAUGCAUUGUACCAUGUAAUUUAAGAAUUUUUUUUAUGCAUUAUUAAUUUAUAUAUUAUAUGGGGCUUCUUAAAAUUUCCGAAUGUGUAUUAUCUUAUAAAUUUAGCGAAUUAUUAAUUUAGCACGUUGUCCCCGAGUCGGG
RNAcentral lists this long non-coding RNA (334 nucleotides) under Erythranthe guttata (spotted monkey flower). Its description in RNAcentral is "long non-coding RNA (EGUT_LNC000871)". Lineage: Eukaryota; Viridiplantae; Streptophyta; Magnoliopsida; Lamiales; Phrymaceae. The record is from RNAcentral.